RNAcentral lists this small RNA (426 nucleotides) under Arabidopsis thaliana (thale cress). RNAcentral describes it as "ATSL062520". The record is from RNAcentral. Lineage: Eukaryota; Viridiplantae; Streptophyta; Magnoliopsida; Brassicales; Brassicaceae.
UUUUUAAUUUGUAUUCUUUAACUAAUUUAAGCUAACUAAUAUAUUUGCUAAUCUUAUACCUAUCAAAACCGACUAUCGUUUCUUAUCUUUAUAGUAUUUUUGCAAGACUUUUUUGGUGGAUUUGGGUAAAAGUGCAUUCGGGUCAUAUGGUACAUUCCCCUAUUAAAUAAAAAUGGUAUACUCCUACGUUAUUAGCUAAAAUGUUUAGAUUAUAAUUCAGAGUCAUAUCAUUAAUAAAGUUAAUAUUAAUAUAAUAAAUGGCUUUUUGGCAAGACGGAUUUGGAGUGACGGGUUUUUGAAUCAACAUUAAUAAAAAAGUAAAAUAUAAUUAAUACACCGUUUCAAUACGGGUUAAAUCUUUAAUUUAUUAUUUUUUAAGACCACUAAUAUUAAACAUAUCAAAUCAUCCUAAUUUAGAAAAGAUUA